AACGAACGCUGGCGGCAUGCCUAACACAUGCAAGUCGAACGAUGGCUUCGGCCAUAGUGGCGCACGGGUGAGUAACGCGUGGGAACCUGCCUUUUGGUUUGGGAUAACUCCGGGAAACUGGAGCUAAUACCGGAUGAGCCCGAGCAAUCGGGGAAAGAUUUAUCGCCAAAAGAGGGGCCCGCGUCCGAUUAGGUAGUUGGUGGGGUAACGGCCUACCAAGCCUACGAUCGGUAGCUGGUCUGAGAGGAUG
This 250-nucleotide ribosomal RNA is filed under the name uncultured bacterium. Its description in RNAcentral is "partial 16S ribosomal RNA". It matches the Rfam family "Bacterial small subunit ribosomal RNA", at positions 29 to 302 of the family's 1533-position model. The record is from RNAcentral.